AGAUUGAACGCUAGCGGGAUGCUUUACACAUGCAAGUCGAACGGCAGCGCGGACUUCGGUCUGGCGGCGAGUGGCGAACGGGUGAGUAAUAUAUCGGAACGUGCCCAGUAGCGGGGGAUAACUACGCGAAAGCGUGGCUAAUACCGCAUACGCCCUACGGGGGAAAGGGGGGAUCGCAAGACCUCUCACUAUUGGAGCGGCCGAUAUCAGAUUAGCUAGUUGGUGAGGUAAAGGCUCACCAAGGCGACGAUCUGUAGCUGGUUUGAGAGGACGACCAGCCACACUGGGACUGAGACACGGCCCAGACUCCUACGGGAGCAGCAGUGGGGAAUUUGGACAAUGGGGGAAACCUGAUCCAGCCAUCCCGCGUGUGCGAUGAAGGCCUUCGGGUUG
RNAcentral lists this ribosomal RNA (393 nucleotides) under uncultured soil bacterium. Its description in RNAcentral is "bacterial SSU rRNA". It matches the Rfam family "Bacterial small subunit ribosomal RNA", at positions 26 to 425 of the family's 1533-position model. The record is from RNAcentral.